RNAcentral lists this unclassified non-coding RNA (335 nucleotides) under soil metagenome. RNAcentral's name for it is "partial contains 5.8S ribosomal RNA, internal transcribed spacer 2, and large subunit ribosomal RNA". The stretch from base 1 to 120 matches the Rfam family "5.8S ribosomal RNA", at positions 35 to 154 of the family's 154-position model. The record is from RNAcentral.
GAUGAAGAACGUAGUGAAAUGCGAUAAGUAAUGUGAAUUGCAGAAUUCAGUGAAUCAUCGAAUCUUUGAACGCACAUUGCGCCCGCCAGUAUUCUGGCGGGCAUGCCUGUUCGAGCGUCAUUUCAACCAUCAAGCCCCAGGCUUGUGUUGGGGACCUGCGGCUGCCGCAGGCCCUGAAAACCAGUGGCGGGCUCGCUGUCACACCGGGCGUAGUAGAUUUUAUCUCGCUCAGGGCGUGCUGCGGGUUCCGGCCGUUAAAAAGCCUUUUUACCCAAGGUUGACCUCGGAUCAGGUAGGAAGACCCGCUGAACUUAAGCAUAUCAAUAAGCGGAGGA